This 433-nucleotide ribosomal RNA is filed under the name uncultured archaeon. RNAcentral's name for it is "bacterial SSU rRNA". It matches the Rfam family "Archaeal small subunit ribosomal RNA", at positions 570 to 997 of the family's 1478-position model. The record is from RNAcentral.
GAAUUCCGGGGAGACUGCCGGACUUGGGACCGGGAGAGGCUAGAGGUACUUCUGGGGUAGGGGGUAAAAUCCUGUAAUCCUGGAAGGACCACCGGUGGCGAAAGGCGUCUAGCUAGAACGGAUCCGACGGUGAGGGACGAAGCCCUGGGUCGCAAACGGGAUUAGAUACCCCGGUAGUCCAGGGUGUAAACGCUGCAGACUUGGUGUUGGGGGCCCUUCGGGGGCGUCCAGUGCCGGAGAGAAGGUUGUUAAGUCUGCUACGUUGGGGAGUACGUCCGCAAGGAUGAAACUUAAAGGAAUUGGCGGGGAGCAACCCGCAACGGGAGGAGCGUGCGGUUUAAUUGGAUUCAACACCGGAAAACUCACCAAGGGCGACUGUUACAUGAAGGCCAGGCCGACGACCUUGCCGGAUUUUCAGAGGAGUGGUGCAUGG